AUCUACGGCCAUGCCACCCUGAACAAGCCCGAUCCCAUCUGAUCUCAGAAGCUAAGCAGGGUUAGGCUUGGUUAGUACUUGGAUGCUUGACUACCUAGGAAGACCAGGUGCUGUAGGCA
RNAcentral lists this ribosomal RNA (119 nucleotides) under Pteropus alecto (black flying fox). The record is from RNAcentral. Lineage: Eukaryota; Metazoa; Chordata; Mammalia; Chiroptera; Pteropodidae.